ACAUGCAAGUCGAGCGAACGGACGAGAAGCUUGCUUCUCUGAUGUUAGCGGCGGACGGGUGAGUAACACGUGGAUAACCUACCUAUAAGACUGGGAUAACUUCGGGAAACCGGAGCUAAUACCGGAUGAUAUUUUGAACCGCAUGGUUCAAAAGUGAAAGACGGUCUUGCUGUCACUUAUAGAUGGAUCCGCGCUGCAUUAGCUAGUUGGUAAGGUAACGGCUUACCAAGGCAACGAUGCAUAGCCGACCUGAGAGGGUGAUCGGCCACACUGGAACUGAGACACGGUCCAGACUCCUACGGGAGGCAGCAGUAGGGAAUCUUCCGCAAUGGGCGAAAGCCUGACGGAGCAACGCCGCGUGAGUGAUGAAGGUCUUCGGAUCGUAAAACUCUGUUAUUAGGGAAGAACAUAUGUGUAAGUAACUGUGCACAUCUUGACGGUACCUAAUCAGAAAGCCACGGCUAACUACGUGCCAGCAGCCGCGGUAAUACGUAGGUGGCAAGCGUUAUCCGGAAUUAUUGGGCGUAAAGCGCGCGUAGGC
RNAcentral lists this ribosomal RNA (541 nucleotides) under uncultured Staphylococcus sp. RNAcentral describes it as "bacterial SSU rRNA". It matches the Rfam family "Bacterial small subunit ribosomal RNA", at positions 53 to 576 of the family's 1533-position model. The record is from RNAcentral. Lineage: Bacteria; Bacillati; Bacillota; Bacilli; Caryophanales; Staphylococcaceae.